UACGGGGGGGGCAAGCGUUGUUCGGAAUUACUGGGCGUAAAGGGCUCGUAGGCGGCCAACUAAGUCAGACGUGAAAUCCCUCGGCUUAACCGGGGAACUGCGUCUGAUACUGGAUGGCUUGAGUGUGGGAGAGGGAUGCGGAAUUCCAGGUGUAGCGGUGAAAUGCGUAGAUAUCUGGAGGAACACCGGUGGCGAAGGCGGCAUCCUGGACCAUUACUGACGCUGAGGGGCGAAAGCCAGGGGAGCAAACGGG
RNAcentral lists this ribosomal RNA (253 nucleotides) under uncultured bacterium. Its description in RNAcentral is "partial 16S ribosomal RNA". It matches the Rfam family "Bacterial small subunit ribosomal RNA", at positions 524 to 776 of the family's 1533-position model. The record is from RNAcentral.